GCCGCCAUAGCUCAAUUGGUAGAGCAACUGACCUGUAAUCAGUAGGUUUCCGGUUCGACUCCGGGCGGCGGCUU
This 74-nucleotide transfer RNA is filed under the name Bacteriophage sp. RNAcentral's name for it is "tRNA-Thr". It matches the Rfam family "tRNA". Rfam says of the family: Transfer RNA (tRNA) molecules are approximately 80 nucleotides in length. The record is from RNAcentral.